RNAcentral lists this ribosomal RNA (404 nucleotides) under uncultured soil bacterium. Its description in RNAcentral is "bacterial SSU rRNA". It matches the Rfam family "Bacterial small subunit ribosomal RNA", at positions 26 to 434 of the family's 1533-position model. The record is from RNAcentral.
AGAUUGAACGCUGGCGGCAUGCUUUACACAUGCAAGUCGAACGGUAACGCGGGGGCAACCCUGGCGACGAGUGGCGAACGGGUGAGUAAUACAUCGGAACAUGUCCUGGAGUGGGGGAUAGCUCGGCGAAAGCCGGAUUAAUACCGCAUACGCUCUGAGGAGGAAAGCGGGGGACUCGUAAGGGCCUCGCGCUGCGGGAGUGGCCGAUGUCGGAUUAGCUAGUUGGUGAGGUAAAGGCUCACCAAGGCGACGAUCCGUAGCUGGUCUGAGAGGAUGAUCAGCCACACUGGGACUGAGACACGGCCCAGACUCCUACGGGAGCAGCAGUGGGGAAUUUGGACAAUGGGGGCAACCCUGAUCCAGCCAUGCCGCGUGAGUGAAGAAGGCCUCGGUUGUAAAGUACU